This is a non-coding RNA of Neolamprologus brichardi, 399 nucleotides long. The record is from RefSeq and is a predicted model, not a curated record. Lineage: Eukaryota; Metazoa; Chordata; Actinopteri; Cichliformes; Cichlidae.
GUCAUCAGACACCUGCCAGCUGGAUUUCAGAGGUUCAGAUGUCCUGUCUGUGGCCACGCCCACCAGUUUAGCCCCGCCCCCUAUAGAGAGGACAGGUGGUAUCGGAGACUCCAGACCGCCAUCCUUCCAUGCUGCUACUGUGAGCCAUGAUGAGCUGCAGGGGUCAGAGGUCAAACCUGCUGUUUCAGAGAGGCUGCAGAGGAAAGAUGUGGGUGAGCAAGGUGAUCGCCUGAAUGGCCACGCCCACUGCCCAGCUGAUGAGAGGGGGGUGGAGCCAACAGGUGGUGGCGACAGUUCAUCGACCCAGCAGAGCAGCGAACUGGAAACAACCAGUUUCUGCUCGUCUGAGGAAGACUCAGGAGGAAGGUUCAGCCAAUCAACAGAGCAGAGCAGCUCCUC